RNAcentral lists this ribosomal RNA (806 nucleotides) under uncultured Candidatus Uzinura sp. RNAcentral's name for it is "bacterial SSU rRNA". It matches the Rfam family "Bacterial small subunit ribosomal RNA", at positions 209 to 1005 of the family's 1533-position model. Lineage: Bacteria; Pseudomonadati; Bacteroidota; Flavobacteriia; Flavobacteriales. The record is from RNAcentral.
GCUUAAGUGGCAAGAGAUGAGCCUGCGUCUGAUUAGGUUAGUUGGUAGAGGUAAUGGCUCAACCAAGACGAUGAUCAGUAGGGGAUCUAAGAGGAUAAACCUCCACACUGGAACUGAGACAAGGACCAGACUUCUACGGAAGGCAGCAGUGAGGAAUAUUGGUCAAUGGAGGAAACUCUGAACCAGCUAUGCCGCGUGUACGGAAGACAGUCUUUUAGAUUGUAAACUACUUUUGCAUAGAAAUAAAAGUUACUACGUGAUAGUAGCCUGAAGGUACUAUGCGAAUAAGUGUCGGCUAAUUUCGUGCCAGCAGCCGCGGUAAUACGAAAGACACAAGCGUUAUCCGGAUUUAUUGGGUUUAAAGGGUGUGUAGGCUGUUUAUUAAGUCAGUAGUGAAAGCUUACAGCUUAACUGUAAAAUUGCUAUUGAUACUGAUAGUCUUGAGUAAGAUUGGAGUGUUUGGAAUGUAUGGUGUAGCGGUGAAAUGCAUAGAUAUCAUACAGAACACCAAUAGCGAAGGCAGGAUGCUAAAUCUUCACUGACGCUGAGGCACUAAAGCGUGGGGAGCAAACAGGAUUAGAUACCCUGGUAGUCCACUGCCCUAAACUAUGAUCACUAGCUAUUGGAAAAAAACUAUAUUCAGUGGCCAAGCCAAAGCGAUAAGUGAUCCACCUGGGAAGUACGAUCGCAAGAUUGAAACUCAAAGGAAUUGACGGGGUUCCGCACAAGCGGUGGAGCAUGUGGUUUAAUUCGAUGAUACGCGAGGAACCUUACCAAGGCUUAAAUGUAUUCCGAAUAAGCUGGAA